This is a non-coding RNA of Rattus norvegicus (Norway rat), 7435 nucleotides long. Lineage: Eukaryota; Metazoa; Chordata; Mammalia; Rodentia; Muridae. The record is from RefSeq and is a predicted model, not a curated record.
AGGAAGCUGUAGAUUUGGUUUGGACACAGGAAAGAAAUGAUGCCCAGUUGAUCUGAGACUCCCACAGGAACAUAAGCUCUGUGUGUGUGUGUGUGUGUGUGUGUGUGUGUGUGUGUGUGUGUGUAUGUGUGUGUGUGUGUUUAAGGUUCUGUCCUGUCAUAAAGGAAUCAUCAAGCAGAAUUAUGAUCAUGGACUACAAAGAGAGAAGAAAGUGAGAACAAAGAACAAUAUGGACACCAUGGUGGUCUUUAAUGAUUGGCCAUGAAGAAUAGAGGCGAGAGUGUGGUAAAGUAUGUGAGAGAGAUGUAAGAGUGCAGUCUGAUAGGGCGAUGUAUGAAUAUUUGAGUAGCGAUGGAAAAUGAGUGAACUUAUUGACUUUUGAAAGGGAAAGUAGCUCAUUAGCAGAGCCAGUGGGUAUUUGUUGGUUAUUGGUUGACUGAAUUUGCCAUCGUUGGUUUAAGAUGAGAGAACUGCAGGAGUCCCCUAGCUUCUGCAGACCUCAUGGAAAGCACAAGUGGAGAAGGUAACGUUAAAAAUAAAAUGUCCUCUUCCCCUUCGAAGUGACAGCAUGGAGAGAUAAGAACAGCACAGAAGGGAAGCCAUGUCCCUCCCUGCCUUACACAUCAAACUGCACAGGUAAUAAAGUCCCUACAUAAGAGCAAUGCAAUGACAGAAAUUUCCACCAUGCAGAGUUCAAACCCUGCUCUGUUGAUUGACUUGACUUCCCCCAGGGAAAUCACAGGUUCCUGCUGAAACAGAGAAUGCCUGCUUCUCCCUGCUCCUGAGAUACUUUUGAGUGAUCCCAGUCACUUUUCGAACAAUUGUGAUUUUUUUUUUUUGAUGUUUGAAACAUUUUCAUCUGACAUGUGGAACAAGUACAAGGAAGGCAUUUCUAGGAAACCAGGUUUAUUUCCCCAAGAGUCACAUGCGUAGUGACACAUCUCCCUUGACAGUGCUCGAUGCUUCACAGGCUUCACAAUUUUGCACUCUGUCUAGGGACACAGAAGCCAGCGACACAGCAGGCCAGCAUGAUACAGGGCUAGUGGCUCAAAUAUCAGCUUAGUGAGCACCUAAUUGUGUGGCCUCGAGUCUGGAAGCCCCAGAAAAGUGACCAUUCUAAUCCCUCUCUUGUGCCUCUAGUGAGGCAAGAUGAACCGUUCCAAGCUCGUGGAGCAAUGCCUCACAGAGAACUCUUCAUAGGUGAAAAACUACUAGAAGAAUUACUUUUAAUAAUCCAUAAGAAGCAGUGAGUUAUUGAUCUUCUGGUACACACCUGUUACUUUUGUUACAGCCUUCUAUGCUGGGGAGAUGAAACUAAUAAACCUUCACAGCCCUAAAGGUCUAUAAAAUAAAACCUCUACGUUCAAGACAAGCAGACAUAGCCUCUUCAUACAUGGACACUGUUUCUUUCUGUGCUGCUAACAGAUUUUCGACACCUUGGUCCUUUCAGAGAACACUAAUUUAUCCCCCUUACAAUUCUCCAAAUCAGAAGUCAAAAUCAAGCCAGACCUAGCAGUGCAAUCCUGUAAUAAAAAGGGAGGCUGGGGCAGGAGGAUUAUAAAUUCAAGAACAGCAUCAGCUAGAAAUGAAUUUGAGGCCAGGCUGGGCAACUUUGAGAUCCUAUCUCAAAAGGUAAGAAGAUGCCUAAGGAUGGAUCUCAGGGAGAGCAUUUGCCUAGCACACCACGGAGCCCUAAUUUCAAUGGCGAGUCCUGAAAGAGAGAAAAAGUAAGUCAGCUAAACUGCCCGCGCGCGCGCACACACACACACACACACACACACACACACACACACACACACCCUGGCUGAAAUCUAGGUAGCAGUAUGGUGCUGUUUUCCACAGCAGUUCAAAGGACUCAGUGUCUGCUUAUCCAGCUGUGGAGAGGCUCCACUGCAUGGUUUGUGGCCCUAUCCACCUUCAAACCUAUCACCCUAACAUCUGUUCCCCCCUUCCUCUCUAUCUCAGAUCUGCCUAUUUUAUCGUCACAUUUGUAUCUACGCUGGGCUUGCCUGGAUCAUCCAGGAUUUUCUCCUCAACUCAGACUCCUUCAUCGAAAUUGUGAGACCCGUUUGACUAUUCACUUCCUGGUGGUCAGGACAGGACACGCACUUCUGAGAAAGGAACCAAUACAAAUAAGAGCGAUUCCCCCAUUGUAGCAGGUUGACAGUGAACAGCUCGGGAUUUACUGCAGAACAAAAAUCCACAGGAGGAACAAAAACAGAAAGGUUGCGGUCUAGGCAGCAAGCUUGCAAGAUGAGCAGCAUUAUGGCCAUUGCCCGGGAGAAGUCCUGAGGGUAUACCGCUGUCCCAGGGUUCUUCUGAUAGUCCACAUUGAUUCAUGACUGCUUCCAAGGAGAGCUUGUGCAUCCAUACAAGGUGGCUUUUGUACUUUGGAUACAAAGGAAAAGAAGAGAGGGACAAAGCAAGAGACAAAGAAGUGCCCUACUUGUGAGCUGCGAAGUUUUCUUCCUUGAAAAGAAUACAAAGUGCAGGAAAGUGUCCCACUUCUCCUCUUUCUUUGUCUUUCCUUUUCUGCCUUGUCUUUUGGUCCUUUCCUUAAAAAAAUCAUCUUUUGGCUAGAAGAGAUUGGAGAAUGGAAUGAGGCAAACAGUGUUUCGAGGGGAAAGAAGAAAAACAAAUCAUGGUUGAUGGAGAUAUUAGAGCCAUAGAAAUGCAAGGGUCACCUCAAGGAGUCACCCUAGAUGUCCAUAAACAGAUGGAUGAGGAAGAAGAUGUGUAUAUAUGCAAAACGAACUUUUGUUCAGCCAUGAAGAAGGGAACUGUGUUUGCAGUUGAUGAAGAGGGCCAUGAUGUUAUACAAAGGCAAGUGUGCGUUUCUGUGGUUUGAAUGCGAAACGGCCAUAAGCUCACACGCAGGAACACUCAAUCCUCCGCUGGUGGUGCUCCUGGUGGAAGCUUUAGAAGUAGAUCCUCUCUUCCUGAAGGAAAUGGGUCGCUGGGGGCGGGACUUGAUGCUUUAGAGCCAGCCUCACUUCCUGUUCCAGUGUAACCAGCCUGUCUCCAGUAGGGCCUCUGUUCUUUCCAUGCCCUUCGCCAUGUCUUCCCCAUCGUGAUGGACUGUAAGCUCAAAUAAUCCCUCCCUCCCUUUAGAUGCUUUUGCAUCAAUAUUGUACCACAGUAAAAGAAAAGGCCCUGAGACUCAUGCUUUCUCUCAAAUGUGACCCCUAGAGGGGAAAAGACGAUCAAAGUAAAGGAGCCGGUGAGGCAUAUGGAAGGAGAAAGGGCGGGAGAAGAGGAGAACGCACUAUAGUAGUUGAGUAUAAUAAAAGUGAACUGUGUGCAUAAACAGGAAUGUCAUAAUGAGGCACACUACUUCUGUGAUCAGUAUAUGCCAAGUAAAAAUAUGCAUUUAAAAUCAAGCAUAAAAAAGGAAGCAAAGUACUUCAUGCUGGGACAGUAAUAAAGAUGCCUUGGGGGCCUCUCAGGAAUCAGGAAAACCUUACUGCUACACUGUAAAGGCAUAAAAGAUUAACUCCUUCAAGGUGUUCCUUCAGUCAAGGGUUCCUUCAGUCAACAGUACCUUCAGUGUGUUCUGCUCCCACGGGGCUAUACAGGAGCAUGUCUUUCUCAAUAACAGGUUCACCAUGCUCGUGUGCAGCCACCUCACACUUUUCAGCCAUGUUCCAAGGGUGGUAGGAAAGGCUGAGACCUCAUAGCAUAAGCAGGAAGCAAAGGCCACGAUGGGAAUGAUAUUUUUAAACCUCAACAUCCACCCCCAGUGACACCCUUUCUCCAACAAGGGCACAACUCCUAACUCUUCCCACAUAAUUCCACCAUCUGGGACCUAGUCUUCAAAUAUGUGACCCAAAAGGGCGAGGCCAUUCUCAUUCAAACCACUGCGCAUGUCAAGGAAAGCAUGCGAUGCUCCGGCAGUUCGAACCAGACACGCCCCCAAAGGCUAUGUCAUUAGAGAUGCCUGAGACAUGACUAUUCUCUAAGGAAAUUUUCAGGCAAUAGUUAGCCCAAGAAAUAGGCACCAGUAAAGCCACAGGAAGGCGUGCCCAAACCCUGUGGAGCUCACAUCACAUCAAUGUAUCCCCCAGAUACCAGCCACAGACUUAAGGACUUGAUGUUUGCCCUAAUGCAUUUCAGUCUCGCGUUGGUCCCACUCUUCCUUUGGGUCCUCAUCCCUGCCUUUUGGUUUGGGAAUGCUUACUCCAUGCCAUUAUAAUCCUCAAAAGAAUCUACUUUCUAAAAAUGACAUCCAUGCCUUUAGUCUCAGAAACACCUUCACACUUGGACUUUUGAACAACUCCUAAGAUUCUUAGAAUGGGUGUAAUUUGUAUUCUCAGGUAGCCAUUGGACUUUAGAAGCCAGAAGAGGAAUGUUAGGGUUUGAAUAAUAAAAUGUCUUCCAUAGACUUGUGUAUUGAACAUUUUGGUCCCCGGUGGUAGCACUCUCUGAGGACACUUACCUUGACCUAAAAGCAAUAAAUCCAGCCAGAAAUGGGUUGAAACCUCUGCCAUCACAAGCCAAAUUAAAUAGCUCAUGCCUUUAAGUUGUUUUUCUAAGGUUGGAGUAAGGAACCAUGAGCAACUCACUUAGUGUUGACUGCAUAGUGGCUGGCUCUAUGGUAUGGAAGCUUGGCUGCUCCGGAUGUUCAAGUUGGCUUUUUUUUUUCUUUUUCGUAUUGGAAUGCUUAGAAAUAGCUGGAGUUAUACACAUGAUCUCUCUUUUUAUCUCUCGUUGUUCCUUGUUUCUUUCCCUCUUUGUCCCACUCUUUGUUCUAGAUUGUGAACACUACACACAUAACUGACUAGGCUUACUUAAAGGCAACACUCCAUGUAGUUAGAUGUCUUCUAAAUUCCUACAAGGCAAAAAAAAAAGUAAGUCCUUUUAUGACCUUGUCCCAGAAAUCAUAGAGCCACUCACCCAUUGAACUCUCUCAGCUACAGAGGAUAGAGCCGGGUCGCUGAAGGAAGAUGAUCAAAGCCAUGGAUGCAGAAGAGACUAGUUUCUUGGGAACUGUCUUUCGAACCUGGACAGGAUAUAACAGGGUGAUGUCUAAACUCAAGAAUUUCAGAAUGGUUAAUAAAGCUGGGACUAAGUGUUGUAAUCUGAUUAUUGAUUUUGGCUUUGCCUGUGCUUGUAAAUAUGAUGUCACCUUUAAAUACCAAACAACAAAACUUAAAAUUAUAAUUGGAAAGAAUAAUAGUGUGUGGUCUUAAUAGAAAUGGCCCCUCAUAGACUCAUGUGUUUGAAUGCUUUGCUCAUAGGGAGUAGUGCUGUUAGGAGGUGUGGCCUUGUUGGAGUAGGUGUGAUCUUGUUGGAGGAAGAAUGUCACUGUGAAAGUGGGCUUUGGAGUCUCCUAUAUUCAAGCUACAACCGGUGUGGCACACAGUUUCCUUCUGCUACUGAAGAUCAAUAUGUAGAACUCUCAACUCCUUCUCUAGCAUCAUAUCUACCUGCAUGCUGCCGUGUCUCCAACUAUGACAAUAGUGGACUAAACUUCUGGAAGUGUAAGCCACCCCCAAUGAAAUGUUUUCCUUUGUACGAGUUGCUGUGGUCAUGGUGUCUCUUCACUGCAAGGACACCCUAACUAAGGGAAGUAGUCUACAUAACCAAAUACCAGGCAGCAGCUUAAAAACAACCACAAAACAACAAACUCUCUGCUUCAAAAAUCUUUUAAACUAUAAAGAGUUCAGUUAGAAUGCAGAGGACAAAACAAAAUACUCUAUGUUUAUAGCCAAUACUGUUUUUCUUAAACACACAUGCAUGUACAUAUAUGUUCGAUUUAAAUAAACUCAUGUACACAAGACUAGAAAGAAUCUUAUGAAUAUGACCAAAAUAUUGGUUUUUUCUUCUUUAUUUCUUUCCAAAUUUACUGUAAUCAACAUGCAUUGUUUUGUUAUUUUACCUCUAGCAUGUAUUAGGAACAUCCACCAAGGGAAGGGAGGAGUCAGUCUUUAUGCUCAUACCUGGAGCUUUCUAAAACUACCAUAAAAUGAGAAGUGUACAUGGCCUUUGACAGUAAGACUUGGUAAAGGUGGAAAAGGAAGCCUUCAAGAUGGCUGGAGAUGACUGACAUUCCGUGAUCUCAACAAUGACGACUUUGUAAGAGUAUAAAAAGCAACAGGAGAUUUUCUGAAUUAUUCUAUGGGUAGGAAGGGUAACUCAGACAACAGUGAGUCCAAGAACUGAGUCACUGGCCCAAUACACACACACACACACACACACACACACACACACAGAGAGAGAGAGAGAGAGAGAGAGAGAGAGAGAGAGAGAGAGGGAGAGAGAGAGGCAACGUUCUGACAUAGGUAGUAUUUAACACUUCUAACAAAGUUGUAUGACCAGCCACAUUUCAUCCUUGCAAUAGUCCUGAAGCACCAACAUCUCUUUUUGUGGUUUGGUUUUGUUUAGUGUUUGAGACAAGGCUUCACAAUGCAGCUUGGCAGGCGUAGAAGUCACUGUGUAGAGUAGAUUGAGUUUGAACUCACUGAGCUCCCCAUGCUUCUGCAUGUCAAACACUGGGAUGAAAGGCCUAGGUACUGAUCCAUCACUUAGUGCUGGAAGUUGUCCUUAUGUCCUCGAAUGUUAAAACAAAGAAAAGUGAAAGAGUAAAAGUGACUAAAGCCCUGUAUCACACCGCAUUCGAGAAUUCAGGACGUCCGUUGGAAAACGCAAUAUUUUUAUGCAAUAGCAGACACACCACGCUUUCCUGUUUAACAAGUGCAUAUAAACGGGAAGAGAACAUACCUCACUGGCAGGAGUAUACAGCAGCAACCAGAAAUAGAUGUUUAAUGACCUCUGUAGUAACAAGAGGAACAAUGACCCAUGCAUGGCUCCCAAGGCUGAACCUCAUUUCUAUGUCAAACCCAGUAAAAUAUAGUGUAGAUCACGGCUCUAACUCAGGCGAUUCGCUUCGUUUUUCAGGUGGAGUUGAAGGUAUUUAACCACAUACUUCACAGCGCUGCCUUUAAAUCCCUCUUUCUUUCUUGAGAUGUCUGGCACUCAUUCACUUGGUGUCCUUUCUUCUUUCCUUCUGCAGAAAAAAAAAUAAACUCUUCUUAAACAGGAAUAAUCCCACCUGGAAUAAAGCAAAACAUUGCCCUGUGGGGCCAUGGAUGUAGAGUGUCAGCAAUGAUUUUAAGUGAAAGCAUUGCAGUCUUUCCUGGGAAACAUCUAAAAGGGAUCAACACAGUUUCUUGGUCUUCUCCUUCAUACAGCAAUAAUGUAAAUGACUCGACUAGAGCUGAAACACCUAUUUUGGUGCCUGAAAGACCGCACCAAAUAGUGACUGAGGGGCUCAUACCAAAUGCUAUUGACCAUGCAACUUCCCUAGCAAUUAUUAACACUGCCUGUGCCAGAUCAUUGUGUGUGUGUGUGUGUGUGUGUGUGUGUUUUAAAAACAAUGCUCUGAAUUGGGUCAGUGCCUGUUAUUCAGAUAUUGUUCUGUAGCUUACAGCCAAAC